UGUUGUUUUGCAUCAUUAAGAUUAAGAACGACUCCAACCCUUCAGAGUUCUUAUGGGCCAGCAGCAAAUAAAAAUUUAGCGAUGGGUUUUUGGAUUUCUUAGUAUAAAAGAUGCUUUCUUUAAGGAAUUUUUGGAGAAGGCAUAGAAGGAAGCUUUUUGUUACGGUUGGAGUUUUAGGAAGUGGGUAUGCUAUGUAUAAGCUUUAUCAUGCUCACAAGCAGAGGCUCUUUGAUUUGGAGAGAGAAUUUGAAGGCGGGCGGGCAACCGAUGAACUCAUUAAGGCCCAACUGCAAGCCCAUUUUGGGAACAUUCAAAGAGUAGCUGAUUCAAUAACAUUGCCUUCAUCAAUGCACUAUUUGCGUAGCCGGAUAUCAGAGGAGUUGGACCAUUCACCCUUGAUUGCGAAGCUUGAGCAGGGGAAGGGUCAGCCCAGCACCCUUACGUCUUUGGAGAAGCAACAACUAUGGGAAAGACUCAAAAUUCUAAGUUUCACAAGCAUGGUGUUAUCAUUGUGGGCGAUGACACUGCUUAGCCUAUAUAUAAGAAUACAAGUCAACAUUUUAGGCAGACAUCUAUACAUUGAUACAGCCCGGGAUCUGGAAAGCUCUCAUCUACUGGAAGAAACAGACCCAUUUGAAAGACACAGUCAGCAAGAAUUUUUAGCAACUGCUGAUUACCUUUCUGGUGAUGGCAUGAACACAUUGAUCUCAGACAUGCAGACAGCUGCAGCCGAAGUUCUCAAGGGAAAACAGCUGAGGGAUCUGUUAAAUACUUCCCAACUUCAUGAAACCAUUGUGCAAAUACUGGACAUUUUCAUGAGUGUUGGGGCCCCUAAUCACUGGGUGACCUAUUUAAUGCCGGAAAAUGCUAUAUCAUACAAACAUCAAAUGGCAACAUCGUCUAGUGUGCUGCUUCCUGAUGUUACCAAGCUCGAUCAACUCUUGGUGGAGACACGUGCUGUCCUUCUGAGUGAUGAUUUUAGUAAUGUUGUCACUAUAUCAUUGAGAACAGUGGUGGAUGCCUUGAUGGAUGAUUUUGGGUUACAACUAGGAGGCAAUUCUUCAAGAGGAAUUCCCCUGGCCAAGCUGUUGCCUAGAGUUGCACAGAUGGGUCCUUUACUGCUUGAGGAACCUGGCAGUAACAGGUUUAUCCAGAUCAUCAGAAGGUUGCCAGAAGUUGAAGUCUUUUACACUCUUCUUUAUGCAAAUAUGCCACCCUCAUAGAUGAGCCAAGAAGCCAAUAGCAAUUGAAAUUCAACUUCCAACUUUUUUAGGGGAAUGUACAAUUUGGAAAGAAAAAUAAAGAGAAAGAUGAAUGUUUCUUUGUGCAAAUGUAGCUUCCUUUAAUUUUGUUGGUUAAUCAGCUG
This is an RNA transcript of Telopea speciosissima, 1366 nucleotides long. It is a transcript of the gene named peroxisome biogenesis protein 3-1-like, with no coding region annotated. NCBI's taxonomy places the organism in Eukaryota, Viridiplantae, Streptophyta, Magnoliopsida, Proteales, Proteaceae. The record is from RefSeq and is a predicted model, not a curated record. The transcript has 8 exons.